ACGUUACCCGCAGAAGAAGCACCGGCUAACUCCGUGCCAGCAGCCGCGGUAAUACGGAGGGUGCAAGCGUUAAUCGGAAUUACUGGGCGUAAAGCGCACGCAGGCGGUCUGUCAAGUCGGAUGUGAAAUCCCCGGGCUCAACCUGGGAACUGCAUUCGAAACUGGCAGGCUUGAGUCUUGUAGAGGGGGGUAGAAUUCCAGGUGUAGCGGUGAAAUGCGUAGAGAUCUGGAGGAAUACCGGUGGCGAAGGCGGCCCCCUGGACAAAGACUGACGCUCAGGUGCGAAAGCAUGGGGAGCAAACAGGAUUAGAUACCCUGGUAGUCCACGCCGUAAACGAUGUCUACUUGGAGGUUGUGCCCUUGAGGCGUGGCUUCCGGAGCUAACGCGUUAAGUAGACCGCCUGGGGAG
RNAcentral lists this ribosomal RNA (409 nucleotides) under Salmonella enterica subsp. enterica serovar Virchow. RNAcentral's name for it is "bacterial SSU rRNA". It matches the Rfam family "Bacterial small subunit ribosomal RNA", at positions 472 to 880 of the family's 1533-position model. The record is from RNAcentral. Lineage: Bacteria; Pseudomonadati; Pseudomonadota; Gammaproteobacteria; Enterobacterales; Enterobacteriaceae.